ACGUCUACAGAGAGCCUGCCUAGAGUCUGGAUUUUUUAAGCUGCUGGAUACCAGGUGCUACCUGACACCAGCUCAUCCCCUGCCUCUAGAGUCCUGGAGGGCUUUGAGUUGAUCACUUUCCACUCCAGGAAUGUUAUAAGAAACCGCUCAGAAAGAGCCACCAUCACCAUCACUGAUGUCACCUUUGAAUGCAAGGGACACUAUAUUUCUUCAACUUCAGGCAAUCACAGUUGUCCUGAAGUAGGUCACCAUUUACGUGGACAGCACCCAGAACUCCUCGAUAGUGGGGUCUCUUUACUUAAAAAUAAAGAUCAAGAAUUUAUAGUAUUUCAGGAUUGAAAGGAAUCUUGCAGAUUAUUCUCACCAAUUGAUUCAGUUACAAAUAAAGAACACUGACAAUGACCCAUAACGACUAUUCUAUCACAUUUUGUCUCCAUUUUCUCACUGAUGGCCUGAGAGGUAAGCAUUGACAUUAUAUCCACUUUGCACAUGAAGAAAUUACGCCCAAAGAUAUGCUAGCUUGCCUGAUAUCCAGUAAUGAGUUAAUGGCAGCCUGGGGUUUUCAAACCUAACUCUUCUUCUUCUUAUCUUAGAGUUGGGGU
RNAcentral lists this long non-coding RNA (602 nucleotides) under Homo sapiens (human). RNAcentral's name for it is "HSALNT0332467". Lineage: Eukaryota; Metazoa; Chordata; Mammalia; Primates; Hominidae. The record is from RNAcentral.